Bos taurus (domestic cattle) is the source of this 635-nucleotide long non-coding RNA. Lineage: Eukaryota; Metazoa; Chordata; Mammalia; Artiodactyla; Bovidae. The record is from Ensembl.
UGAACUCUUCCGGAACAACACCAUCACUCUUGACCUAGGCGGCUGCCUAGUGCGGGACUCCACCUCGGUGUUCACGUCAGCUGUGGUGACAGUUUCCAAGCGGUCACUCUCCUGGCCUGGAAGCCUUCACAGUCUGUUACCAGUCGAAUGGCAUGUUUCAAAUUUGACCAGCUUCAUUCUCAAGUGUUGGAAGGCCACAGGUGGCUACGGCCUUGGACAGCACAGGCAUAGAGGCAUCUUGUUGAUACUCCAGAGACUUCAAAUUGUUCGAAGAGAGAAUGCUUUUCAUGCAGACGCCCACUGCCAACUAAACAAACAAAGAAAGGGCUUCCCUGGUGGCUCAGUGAUAAAGAAUCCACCUGCCAAUGCAGGAGACACAGGUUCAACCCCUGGUCUGGGAAGAUCCCACUUACUGCGGAGCAACUAAGCCCUUUGCCACAACUUCUGAGCCUGUGCUCUGGAGCCCGGGAGCCGCGACUCCUGGGCCCAUGAGCCCCAGCUAAUGGAGCCUGCAUGCCGUAGGCCUGUGCUCCUCAAUGAGAGGCCCCACCGCAGUGAGAAGCCUAUACAAUGCAACUCAAGAGGAGCCCCUGCUCGCCACAAAUAGAGAAGACCCCGAGCAGCAAGGAAGACCC